UGAAGUGGGAAGAGCUCAAAUUUGAAAUCUGGCGGUUCUGGCUGUCCGAGUUGUAAUCUAGAGAAGUGUUACCUGCGCUGGGCCGUGUACAAGUCUCCUGGAACGGAGCGUCAUAGAGGGUGAGAAUCCCGUCUCUGACACGGACUACCAGGGCUUUGUGGUAUACUCUCAAAGAGUCGAGUUGUUUGGGAAUGCAGCUCAAAAUGGGUGGUAAACUCCAUCUAAAGCUAAAUACUGGCGAGAGACCGAUAGUGAACAAGUACCGUGAGGGAAAGAUGAAAAGAACUUUGGAAAGAGAGUUAAACAGUACGUGAAAUUGCUGAAAGGGAAACGCUUGAAGUCAGUCGCGUUGGCUGGGGAUCAGCCUCACAAAUAAGUGUGGUGUAUUUCCUGGUUGGACGGGUCAGCAUCAAUUUUGACCACUGGAGAAAGGCUUGGGGAAUGUAGCAGCCCUGGCUGUGUUAUAGCCUCUUGUCAGAUACAGUGGUUGGGAUUGAGGUGUGCAGCACGCCGCGAGGCCGGGGCUAAAACAGCCCACGUUCGUGCUUAGGAUGUUGACAUAAUGGCUUUAAGCGACCCGUCUUGAAACACGGACCAAGGAGUCUAACAUGCCUGCGAGUGUUUGGGUGGAAAACCCGUGCGCGCAAUGAAAGUGAAAGUUGAGAUCCCUGUCGUGGGGAGCAUCGACGCCCGGACCUGAACUUUUGGGAUGGAUCUGCGGUAGAGCAUGUAUGUUGGGACCCGAAAGAUGGUGAACUAUGCCUGAAUAGGGCGAAGCCAGAGGAAACUCUGGUGGAGGCUCGUAGCGAUUCUGA
RNAcentral lists this ribosomal RNA (815 nucleotides) under Agaricales sp. TF6TTC. RNAcentral describes it as "LSU rRNA". It matches the Rfam family "Eukaryotic large subunit ribosomal RNA", at positions 94 to 889 of the family's 3401-position model. The record is from RNAcentral. Lineage: Eukaryota; Fungi; Basidiomycota; Agaricomycetes; Agaricales.